GACGAACGCUGGCGGCGUGCUUAACACAUGCAAGUCGAACGGAAAGGCCCUGCUUUUGUGGGGUGCUCGAGUGGCGAACGGGUGAGUAACACGUGAGUAACCUGCCCUCGACUUUGGGAUAACUUCAGGAAACUGGGGCUAAUACCGGAUAGGAGCUCCUGCUGCAUGGUGGGGGUUGGAAAGUUUCGGCGGUUGGGGAUGGACUCGCGGCUUAUCAGCUUGUUGGUGGGGUAGUGGCUUACCAAGGCUUUGACGGGUAGCCGGCCUGAGAGGGUGACCGGCCACAUUGGGACUGAGAUACGGCCCAGACUCCUACGGGAGGCAGCAGUGGGGAAUAUUGCACAAUGGGCGGAAGCCCGAUGCAGCAACGCCGCGUGCGGGAUGACGGCCUUCGGGUUGUAAACCGCUUUCGCCUGUGACGAAGCGUGAGUGACGGUAAUGGGUAAAGAAGCACCGGCUAACUACGUG
This 468-nucleotide ribosomal RNA is filed under the name uncultured bacterium. Its description in RNAcentral is "partial 16S ribosomal RNA". It matches the Rfam family "Bacterial small subunit ribosomal RNA", at positions 28 to 507 of the family's 1533-position model. The record is from RNAcentral.